Triticum aestivum (bread wheat) is the source of this 935-nucleotide long non-coding RNA. RefSeq lists it as uncharacterized. Lineage: Eukaryota; Viridiplantae; Streptophyta; Magnoliopsida; Poales; Poaceae. The transcript is spliced from 3 exons. The record is from RefSeq and is a predicted model, not a curated record.
UCUAGACCUAAGGUAUGCGUACAGAAAAGAAAAUAGGUGGAAAGGUCUGCCCUUCUCGCCUCCUCUAUUACUCCCAUCCUACAAUGGAAGAUCGAUCAGAAGUGCUUUGCUGGAUGAAUUCCCUGGAAAUUCCAUGAUGUUGCCGUUGUCUAGGCGAGGAUCAGGGGCUCCGGCCUCAACUCUGAUUCUACAUGUACAAGCCGCUAACUGGCAAUUCUCUGACAUAUGUCUCCGCAUUAACAGGUUAUAUGAUGUUCUGCGUGUAGCGGCACAGAGGAUGUGAAGACCCAUGACACUACAUGAGACUCACUAUAUACAAAACGUAUGGUUUGCCGACGUCAGGGCAAGAUUGGCUGAUUCAGAUCGGUAUGGGGUAAACAGAUGUACGCAUCAUGCCUGUUAUUCUUCCAUGCACAUCCAUCACGAUAUCAGGCAAGACAACUUGCCACAUGCCGAGGAAUAUCUAUAUUUUUGUGGUGGAUGAAGACGUUCCCGUGCAUCAUGUGACUGGCCGUUUGGUAGGACAACACACUGGAUGGAGGGGUGUCUGCGUCAUCUAUUUUUCUACAUAACAACGUAUAUCUAGAUUUUCAUGUAUGAUUAAACUUUUCCUUUUUCUGAAAUCUGCAGCAUGUACAGUGGAUGAGAAGCUUGGUGCAUGAUUUGGGGCCUUGUAGGUUGAUCGGACAAUAAGCUAUAUGAAGUCUUGAGGAGCCAUACAGUUGAUAAGAGAUGUCACAUGAUAUGUCGUGUGUCCAGACUAACAACGUUCACGCUGGAUUGAAGCUCUUCUUUUUAGGUAUUGCACACAUGAGACUGGAAAAGCAACGUAAGAUGGACGGCAAUGUUAGUUUGCUGCAUCUGAGUUUUCUUAUCACGUUCUGCCUGUGGGUUACAUCUAUGUACAACAUAUAUCUCCUUUUUGUAAUUAGCAU